Molecule: ribosomal RNA, 429 nt
Filed under: Chloroflexota bacterium
Lineage: Bacteria; Bacillati; Chloroflexota
Description: Chloroflexi bacterium partial 16S ribosomal RNA
Rfam family: Bacterial small subunit ribosomal RNA
Source: RNAcentral
UGGGGAAUAUUGCACAAUGGGCGCAAGCCUGAUGCAGCCAUGCCGCGUGUAUGAAGAAGGCCUUCGGGUUGUAAAGUACUUUCAGCGGGGAGGAAGGGAGUAAAGUUAAUACCUUUGCUCAUUGACGUUACCCGCAGAAGAAGCACCGGCUAACUCCGUGCCAGCAGCCGCGGUAAUACGGAGGGUGCAAGCGUUAAUCGGAAUUACUGGGCGUAAAGCGCACGCAGGCGGUUUGUUAAGUCAGAUGUGAAAUCCCCGGGCUCAACCUGGGAACUGCAUCUGAUACUGGCAAGCUUGAGUCUCGUAGAGGGGGGUAGAAUUCCAGGUGUAGCGGUGAAAUGCGUAGAGAUCUGGAGGAAUACCGGUGGCGAAGGCGUCCCCCUGGACGAAGACUGACGCUCAGGUGCGAAAGCGUGGGGAGCAAACAGG